RNAcentral lists this long non-coding RNA (1159 nucleotides) under Homo sapiens (human). Its description in RNAcentral is "HSALNT0215370". The record is from RNAcentral. Lineage: Eukaryota; Metazoa; Chordata; Mammalia; Primates; Hominidae.
GUCACAGUUCUGGAGGUCGGAAGUCCAAAAUCAAGGUGUUGGCAGGGCCGCACAUCCUCCAAAGGAUCUAGAAGAGAAUCUGUCCUUGCCUGUUCCAGCUUCUGGCGGUUCCUGGAGUUUCCUGGUGUUCCGUGGCUCAUGGCAGCAUCACUCCAAUCUCCGCCUCUGUCUUCACACGGCCUUCUCGGCAUCUGUUCUCUUUUCUGUGUCUCUUGUAAGGACCCACAGUUGGAGUUAGGACCCACCUGGAUAAUACAGGAUCUUGAGAUCCUUCAGUGAAUUACAUCUGCAAAGACCCUUUUUACAAAUAAGGUCCACAUUCAGAGCAGGCAACAGGAUGUGGACACAGCUUUUUGGGAGUCACUGUUCAAUCCACCAUGAGACCCCUCCUGUGGCUGCCUUCCAUACUAGUGCCUCCUGCCAUCUUUACCCACCUACCCCUCGCCCUGUGAGCAGACAAAGCACCUUCUCAAACCACGCUGUUCUGGGGCUUUUGGUUCUGAAGGCCUUUGAAGCUGCAGCCUUUGGGGCUACUCCUCAAACCCUGAUCACAGGAUGAGACCUAGUGUUGGGGCAUCCCAGUCACCUACAUGCUUCUCAGAGCAGGUCUUAACAAUUUGUCUCCUUCAAGGGCUGUUUCUAGACUUGCCUCUUCAUCCAGCCUUCCCACCAGGCAUCACAGCCCGAGGCAUCCGGCCAAGACGGCUGGGGACCGAGUCUCUCAGCCAAACAGGAAUGGCGCCCACCAAGAUAUUAAGGCCAUGCAUUAGAAAGCACAGGCCCAGAAGGUAAUCAAAGUGAAGCUGACUGACAAGGGAUGAAGAGUGAAAAUUACAAUUUGAGAACCUCUUUGGUCAGCUAUUGGGAAAGAAUGAACUCUCCCCUGUGCAAACCACCUCACGAUUUUUCAGGAAGCCAGGGCGAGGAACUUGGAUUCCAAAGCCUAGAGAAAGAUGGCUGACUCGGGGCGGCUGCGCUGCGUUCUCUCCCCUGUGAACUUUGCUCACGUUUUGGACUGGGCAGCAUCUCGCGGUCUGCUCGAGCGGGCUGCCCUUCUGCUUAGAGCUGGACAGUGUUCUCGUCUGCUAGAACGGGAUUUUAUGGUCAACAGGACAUUGCCAUGUGUCACUGCAACACUUAGAGGGUAGUUUGAACUGGG